Molecule: long non-coding RNA, 1203 nt
Filed under: Mytilus galloprovincialis (Mediterranean mussel)
Lineage: Eukaryota; Metazoa; Mollusca; Bivalvia; Mytilida; Mytilidae
Source: RNAcentral
GAUCUUAUGGUUGAAUUAAGAAACGUAAGUUUUAUUAAUUUGUCAAAAAACAAAAUGACGAAAAUCUCACGUAUUUUGCAAAUGUUUAACCCUUGUCAGAUUUAUAUAGGAGAAAUCGUUAUUUACUGUAAAUGCAAAGACAGUUGGCUUCAAAAUUGGCUGCCAUCAUUUCAAAGUAAAUGUUUCAAUAAUACGAGAGUAUAUUGCAAGUAUCAUAAUGAAAAAGUUCACAUAUUGAAUAUGACUAGACAUGAACUUGGAUGUAGACUCUACAAUGACUUUAUCUUAAGUUUGAACAUUUCACUUGCCGUGGGAGUGUUUUUUGUAACUGUAUCAUCGCUUUCUAUAUAUACCAUCCGUUUUGAACUUUUCAUAAUGAUACGAAAAUUUCUGAAGUACUGCAAAGGGAUAGUUGUUCCAUCAGACGCAUAUGCAUAUGAUAUCUACAUAUCUUGCAAUGAAAAUGACGUUUAUUUACGGCAUUGGCUAACUUCAUCAUUUGUUCCUUUUCUUCAAGAAAAAAAUCUCAGUGUGUUUUUACCUUAUCGAGAUUGUCAAAUAGGGCGACUGCGUGAGGAAGAAACCAUUGAUAUAAUGUCAACGAGUCUUAAUUUCGUAAUUUUGCUGUCCGAGAAUUGUGAAAGUUCAAUAGAAAUGUGGAUUAAGAAAGAAUGGAAAUAUGCAUGGUACAAUUAUAGAUAUGAUAUCAAUCGAGAAAUUAUCGUAAUAAAUUAUGACAUGAUGGACUAUCAAGAUGUGACACAUAAAUAUUUGAGAGCAUUUUUAAAAAUGAAUAGUUUUAUUAAUUUUUCAAAAAAGGAUAAACUGAUAAAAGCAGAGGUGUACUCGAGACUGCAACAUUAUCAUGAUUCAGUAUUCGGGAAAAAAAUAUGCAACGGACCAUGUACAACAAGGCGUAAUAGUAAUCUAGGCUCUGACAUUGAGAUGAAAAAAUCGUCAAAUCAAACAUGACAUUAAAUCGAAUAUUUCUAUAAUUCUACAGUUAUAAACUAAGCAUACAAUCAUGUCUACAGCAAUAAAGUAUAACAAAAUACUUAUAAGUACUAGCAAUUUAUUCAACAUAAAAUAGACACCAACAUAGAUCUCAGCAUUAUCACAAAUGUUUUUGAAAUCUAAUUAAAACAGUUCUUAAGGAAUUAAAGGAACAAUCUACUUAGAGGAAAACUAGGAUAUUUUGUCAGC